RNAcentral lists this small RNA (4060 nucleotides) under Pongo abelii (Sumatran orangutan). RNAcentral describes it as "retained intron". Lineage: Eukaryota; Metazoa; Chordata; Mammalia; Primates; Hominidae. The record is from RNAcentral.
AAAAAAAAAAGAAAGAAAGUUUUGUUGGAAACGAAACUUCAAGGCAACAGUGAAAUAACACAAGGCAUAUUGGAUUACGUAGUAGAAACCACCAAACCAAUUUCUCCUGCAAACCAGGGUAUCAGAGGGAAACGAGUUGUACUAAUGAAAAAAUUUCCUCUGGAUGGAGAGAAGAUGGGCAGAGAAGCGUCAUUGUUUAUUGUUCCAUCAGUUGUCAAAGAUAAUACUAAAUACACAUAUACCCCAGGAUGCCCAAUUUUUUACUGCUUACAAGAUAUUAUGCGAGUCUGUAGUGAAUCCAGUACUCAUUUUGCUACACUUACAGCAAGGAUGUUAAUAGCCUUGGAUAAGUAAGAAAUGCCAUUAGAAGUAUCUUUUAAUUAAUCAAAUACAUGUUUAUAGUAGAAAUUAGUUCUGAUAGAUACAGACACUUUGAGAAGAAAAUAAUGAAAAUAAUAUAUGUAUUAAAAAAUGGUAAGUUUUUCAAUUCUAAUAUAAAAAUGAAAAACCGGAAGAUAAGGUUGUCCUGGCCUGGGUACAGGAUGUUAAUUUUAUUUUUCAGAAAUGGCAAACACUGCCCUGGCUUAAGAAUUAAGAUUUCCCUGUUAUGAAACUAUACAUUUAAUAUUGAGUUACUCUUAUCAGUGAAGAAGUCAUUCAACCUCUUAUGCCUUUGUCUUUCUGUAAGAACAGGGCUAAUGUCACCUACAUCUCAGUAGUUUGAAUUUUAAUGGUACUUUAAUGUUUUUUGAAAGGAGUUUUUAUUACUAUAAUGGCAUAUACAUUUAAAAAAUUUAUUUGCUGUAUCCAUUAACAAAACUUGUAUUAAUAAUAAAUGAAGUAUUUGUGUACUGACUUGAUCUUUAUAGAUCAUAUGAACAUUAUCACAUGUGCCCCUAAAGUAUGUAUAGUAUUAUGCAUGUUUUUUAAUUGUUUAAAAAAAUCAAUUUGCAAUAUAAAUAAAUUUUAAAAAUAAUAAAGUACUUAACUAACACUAAAUUAAAAUUAUAAAAAUCUGAAGGUAAUAUUCACAAGUGUCAUAUAUCAGAGUUAGAUAGUAAUCUACCUUUUUCAUCUUCACUUUCGAAUGGCUACUUCUACCUCUUUUUUUAUUUUGCCAGGUGGUUAGAUGAACGUCAUGCACAAUCUCACUUUAUUCCAGCUUUAUUCCGACCUUCUCCUCUUGAGCGGAUAAAAACUAAUGUCAUAAAUCCUGCAUAUGCUACUGAAUCAGGUCAGACAGAAAACUCACUACAUAUGGGCUAUAGUGCACUAGAAAUAAAGAGUAAAAUGUUAGCCCUAGAGAAAGCAGAUACCUGUAUUUACAACCCUUUGUUUGGAUCAGAUCUUCAAUAUACAAAUCGGGUAGAUAAAGUGGUAAUAAAUCCAUACUUUGGUCUAGGAGCUCCAGACUACUCAAAAAUCCAAAUACCUAAACAGGAAAAAUGGCAGAGAAGCAUGAGCAGUGUCACAGAAGACAAGGAACGACAGUGGGUAGAUGAUUUUCCUCUCCACCGAAGCGCCUGUGAAGGAGAUUCAGAAUUACUAAGCCGUCUUCUCAGUGAAAGAUUUUCAGUCAACCAAUUAGAUAGUGACCACUGGGCACCCAUUCAUUAUGCAUGCUGGUAUGGAAAAGUUGAGGCCACUCGCAUAUUGUUAGAGAAAGGAAAGUGCAAUCCAAACCUUUUAAAUGGACAACUUAGUUCUCCUCUUCAUUUUGCUGCUGGAGGAGGACAUGCUGAAAUAGUACAGAUUCUCCUAAACCAUCCAGAAAUUGAUAGAUAUGAAAAAUUUCGAAUAUACAGAAUGGAUGGGUCAUAUCGUUCUGUUGAAUUGAAGCAUGGAAAUAAUACCACAGUGCAGCAGAUAAUGGAAGGAAUGCGUCUCUCUCAAGAAACUCAGCAAUAUUUCACUAUAUGGAUUUGUUCAGAAAACCUCAGCCUUCAACUCAAACCGUAUCAUAAACCCUUGCAACAUGUUCGUGACUGGCCAGAAAUACUUGCUGAAUUGACUAAUCUGGAUCCUCAAAGGGAAACACCUCAGCUUUUUCUAAGAAGAGAUGUGAGACUUCCUUUGGAAGUUGAAAAACAGAUUGAAGACCCACUAGCUAUUCUUAUUCUCUUUGAUGAAGCCAGAUAUAAUUUAUUGAAGGGCUUUUAUACAGCUCCUGAUGCUAAGCUGAUAACAUUGGCAAGUCUGCUUUUGCAAAUAGUCUAUGGAAAUUAUGAGAGUAAAAAACACAAGCAAGGUUUCCUAAAUGAAGAAAAUCUAAAAUCCAUCGUACCUGUUACCAAACUGAAAAGUAAGGCACCUCACUGGACAAAUCGCAUACUUCAUGAAUACAAGAAUCUCAGUACAAGUGAAGGUGUCAGUAAAGAAAUGCAUCACCUUCAGCGCAUGUUCUUACAGAAUUGCUGGGAAAUUCCUACUUAUGGAGCAGCAUUUUUCACAGGACAGAUAUUUACAAAGGCAAGCCCCAGCAAUCAUAAAGUCAUCCCUGUGUAUGUAGGAGUGAAUAUAAAAGGACUUCAUCUCCUCAACAUGGAAACUAAGGCUUUACUCAUCAGUCUUAAAUAUGGUUGUUUUAUGUGGCAAUUGGGAGAUACUGAUACUUGUUUUCAGAUCCAUAGCAUGGAAAAUAAAAUGAGCUUUAUAGUACAUACAAAACAGGCUGGUCUCGUGGUAAAACUGUUAAUGAAGCUAAAUGGACAGUUAAUGCCCACUGAAAGAAAUUCAUGAAAGAGAAGUAACUGUUACUCAAGCCACCACAUUUUGUAAUGCAGAGUUUUUUUUCCGUGAAAGAUUUCUUAAAGUAUUACUUUUGGCCGAGCGUGGUGGCUCACCCCUGUAAUUCCAACACUUUGGGAGGCUGGGGCAGGCGGAUCACCUGAAGUCAGAGUUCAAGACCAGCCUGGCCAACAUGGUGAAACCCUUUCUCUACAAAAAUACAAAAAUUAGCUGGACGUGGUGGCGGGCGCCUAUAAUCCUAGCUACUAGGGAGGCCGAGGUGGGAGAUCGCUUAAACCCAGGAGGUGGAGGUUGUAGUGAGCCAAGAUUGCACUGCGGCACUCUAGCCUGGGUGACAGAGCAAGACUCCAUCUCAAAAAAAAAAAAAAUACUUUCAACAAGGCAUUUAGUCUCUUGUAAUAUAUAUGUAUACUAUUACAUUGUACAGAAUCUGUACUUAUGUUUGGUGUGUAAUAUACCAAUUAGUUUUAUAUAUUAUCCUCAUAAGCUAUUCUAAUUUUUGAGAGAAACACAAAAAGUUAUAGAUUGAUAGUCUGUAUAAUAUUAGACAAAAUAGUAAGCUUUAUAAAAAGUUAUUUUUGGUAAAUGGUAAAGAAUUUGGGGUGGAAUGUGAUGAGAUUAAAAUGUAGCUUUGAUAUAACUUCAUGUGUAUUUCAAAAUAUACUGAACGUCAACAUGAUUUGAAUAAAGAAAAUGUAUUUUCUACUUGAACCAUAUAACACUGUUAUUUAAAAUAGUUUUCUGCAGUCUAUAAACAUUUAUCAACAUUUUUUUAAAAGUCUUAGUUAAAAUGUAAAUCUGAUACACGGUAAUGUUUCUCAAAGUAUAGUUCAUGAACUCCUUGCAUCAUAAUUACCUAGAUGCCUCUUAAAAAUGAAGAUUUCAGAGACCCAUUCCAAACAAGGGCAUUCAUUCUCUGGAAGUAGCAUGGCCUUGUGAACUUAAAUUUGGUUUUGUUUUUUCUUUUUUGCUGUUAGAAUAAUUCCAGACCCAAUAAGGAAUUUCGAUUAUUAAAGUUGAGAAAUUUCACAAAACUGCCUGGCACACAAGCACACACAUACAUAGACACAUUUUAAGUGAUAAUCUCUUGAUAUUAGAAGUUGCAUUUGUUAAAUACAUGCUGUAUUUUUUAUGAGUUGACUUAAUAGUUUAUGUAUAUUGACUUUGCUUUGUAGGAAGUAAAUCACCAGAUAUCUGAUUGUUUCAUUUAGGGAAGUAGUGAUAUAGAUGAGGAGCCAACUUGAUGAAUGUACUAUUCAUAAGCUAGAAACUACAGUCUUUCCAAACUAAUAAACUGAUGAAUUCUAAAUAA